RNAcentral lists this transfer RNA (73 nucleotides) under Phakopsora pachyrhizi. Its description in RNAcentral is "tRNA-Ser". It matches the Rfam family "tRNA". Rfam says of the family: Transfer RNA (tRNA) molecules are approximately 80 nucleotides in length. Their secondary structure includes four short double-helical elements and three loops (D, anti-codon, and T loops). Lineage: Eukaryota; Fungi; Basidiomycota; Pucciniomycetes; Pucciniales; Phakopsoraceae. The record is from RNAcentral.
GCGCACUAAGCUCAAAUGGUAAGAGCAUCACUCUUGAAAGUUGAGGUUGUGGGUUUGAUUCCCACAGUGCACA